GCCAGUGACACCCACAGCUGCUUCCUGAGUGUAAAGCUGCAGGUGAUCACUGUACUGAGACACAUCACAGGAAGAGACCGAGAUUAAAGGACGCUGCUGGCGGCGUCCAUUUUAAUCUACAAACAAGAACACAAUGGUGGAAGAAACGAAACAGCGAAAAAACGCCACAUCCCUCCAGGCUGGACCUGGUGAGGUAGACCACAACACUCGCUGUACCAUCGAUAUGAGCAGAGUUUCACAGCGUAUUGGACGACAGCUGGCUCUGAUAGGGGAUGAAUUGGACAACAAAUGGCGUGAACAACUGCCCCUCCAAUGGCAGCCCCUGAAUUUUGGGAUUUAUCCUUAUGUCCUAACCAGGAGAGCGUUCUCUGGCAGGAUCUUCAACAAUGUCUGGGGGUCCAAAAUGAUGCCAAUGUUGAGGACAUCCUGGCUUGUUCCACAGCUUCAAAACGGCUGUCAGGUGGCCAAGAAGUGGGCAGCCUUGGUAUGGACAAUAUUUAUUUUGUGUCUGUAAAUAUCUAUGAA
Long non-coding RNA from Sinocyclocheilus grahami, 525 nucleotides. RefSeq lists it as uncharacterized. The record is from RefSeq and is a predicted model, not a curated record. Lineage: Eukaryota; Metazoa; Chordata; Actinopteri; Cypriniformes; Cyprinidae. The transcript has 5 exons.